Araneus ventricosus is the source of this 74-nucleotide non-coding RNA. NCBI's taxonomy places the organism in Eukaryota, Metazoa, Arthropoda, Arachnida, Araneae, Araneidae. The record is from the annotation of a GenBank genome assembly.
GCCGCUAUAGCUCAGUGGUUAGAGCGCGUCUUGUAAACCAGGGGUCGUGAGUUGAAAUCCCCUCGCAGGUGGCU